Molecule: ribosomal RNA, 497 nt
Filed under: uncultured bacterium
Lineage: Bacteria
Description: partial 16S ribosomal RNA
Rfam family: Bacterial small subunit ribosomal RNA
Source: RNAcentral
GACGAACGCUGGCGGCGUGCCUAAUACAUGCAAGUUGAGCGCUGAAGGUUGGUACUUGUACCAACUGGAUGAGCAGCGAACGGGUGAGUAACGCGUGGGGAAUCUGCCUUUGAGCGGGGGACAACAUUUGGAAACGAAUGCUAAUACCGCAUAAAAACUUUAAACACAAGUUUUAAGUUUGAAAGAUGCAAUUGCAUCACUCAAAGAUGAUCCCGCGUUGUAUUAGCUAGUUGGUGAGGUAAAGGCUCACCAAGGCGAUGAUACAUAGCCGACCUGAGAGGGUGGUCGGCCACCUUGGGACUGAGACCCGGCCCCAACCCCUACGGGAGGCAGCAGUAGGGAAUCUUCGGCCAUGGACGAAAGUCUGACCGAGCAACGCCGCGUGAGUGAAGAAGGUUUUCGGAUCGUAAAACUCUGUUGGUAGAGAAGAACGUUGGUGAGAGUGGAAAGCUCAUCAAGUGACGGUAACUACCCAGAAAGGGACGGCUAACUACGUG